GCAGAGAACGUUGAAAUCAAAAAGGAUUCUGCUCUGUAGAGACAAAGGAGCCACAGAGACAUAGACGUGGAUCUGGGAAAUACACCUUUUGCUACUCAUUCAAUUUUAGAAAGGGGGUUUCUGGCAUGGCUGAGCAAAACUUAAACUUCUUCCCCUGAGAAUUACAGGAAUUACAGGACCUGACAAAGCUCUAAAGAUUAAAACCUAUAGGAAGAAAAUCGGAACCAGAAAUAAUACGGCAGACUUGGGCUCUGAUUCACAGAGGGAAGAACUUAUCAUUCUUCACGGGGCACAUAGAAGCAUGAGAAUUUGGGUUCAAGCAAGUAAAUUCUAAAUUAGAACCCAUACAUAAAGUGUUUGUAAUGUCCAGUUAUAUUUCUAUGAUAUUUUCUUUGUGAAAGUUGAUUGUUCUUCCUUACAAUAAAUUGCAUGAAUUGUCUGUCUCUUCAUUUAACUAUUUCUUUUUCUUGUCUUUGCUAUCUCUCUUUUUUUUUUUUUUGGUAAGUAAAAAAUUUUCAGGCACUAAAUAGCAGGGUAUUUUUUUUUGCUUUGUUUCUCCUAAGUUUUGUCUGACUUAUGACAUUAAUAAUUAUCCAAAAUCUCUGAUUUCUUAUCUUUUCUAUAGAAUGCUGGAAAAACGACAGCUCAAUAUGUACAUUACCCCAUCCCUAACCACCUUCGUCACUACUUUGAACACUCUUCUCUCACCCGACACUGCAGUUAAAUAUGACUGGAAUCCUUGUUUCUAUAGUAAACCAAUCUACUUUAUUUUAUGGAUAAUUAAUGUAAAAAAUUAGACUCUGGGCUUCCUUCAGGUUUUCUUAGGUUUUUCCCACUGGCGUAUAAUGAAAAAUUCAAAAAGGGCCUCUUAGGUAACAGAGACAAGUUUGCAGAUUUUUUUUAUUAAAUUUCUUUAGAAAAGACAAGGUUUCUGUGACCUCCUUUUUUUUGAGACAACGAAAGUGACAAGACAAGAUCUUAAAUAAUAAAGUUAAAGCCAUCGGUAAAGGCAAAAGUCAAAGACGUGAAACAUCUGUGAGAACACACGUAAAAGCUAGUGGGGAUAUCUUGAAGAACAGAGCUCAGUUUCGCAUCAAAGGUCAAACCAACUGAACACCAAGGCUUGAUGCCAGCCAGAGUCUUGCUGUGUAGAGGCUAGUUGCUUUCUGCACGGACACUGAUUCUUGCUUUAAAGAUUACUUGUUAACUCACUAAACACACCCAGCCCAGCUACCUGCAUCAUUCCUUUGUCAAGGUUCCCAUCUACCUGGCCCAGCUGCAGAUGAAGGUCAGUUUCUCAGGGUAUUUUACCCCUCCCCACUUCUUCUCUUUUCCAAAUCACUAUUCUGAAUUUACAGUUGGCCAAUGACCUCUAACUGGAUUAAUAAAAUGUCUAAUUUAGUUUGGAACAUUGAGCUUCUGUUUCACUUUGGCUUGUUCAGGUUUUUAUUAAAUCAGAAUAAAUUUUCAUAGUCCCUAUGGAAAUGCCAGCCUUCUCCACUAAGCUGGCAAAACAUUUCCGUUUCCAAAGAAGUAUGAAAACCUGUUUCCAGCCAGGCAUGGUGGCUCACACCUGUAAUCCCAGCACCUUGGAAGGCUGAGGCCGGCGGAUCACGAGGUCAGGAGAUCGAGACCAUCCUGGCCAACACGGUGAAACCCCGUCUCUACUAAAAAUACAAAAAAUUAGCUGGGCGUGGUGGCAUGUGCCUGUAAUCCCAGCUACUAGGGAGGCUGAGGCAGGAGACUCACUUGAACCAGGAAGGCAGAGGUUGCAGUUAGCCAAGAUUGCGCCACUGCACUCCAGUCUGUCGACAGUAUGAGACUCCAUCUCAAACAUCCCCCUCAAGCCCCACUCCCCAAUAAAAAAAAAAAAAAAAAA
Molecule: long non-coding RNA, 1879 nt
Filed under: Macaca mulatta (Rhesus monkey)
Lineage: Eukaryota; Metazoa; Chordata; Mammalia; Primates; Cercopithecidae
Description: lncRNA (ENSMMUG00000065225.1)
Source: RNAcentral